This 253-nucleotide ribosomal RNA is filed under the name uncultured bacterium. RNAcentral's name for it is "partial 16S ribosomal RNA". It matches the Rfam family "Bacterial small subunit ribosomal RNA", at positions 524 to 776 of the family's 1533-position model. The record is from RNAcentral.
UACGUAGGGCGCAAGCGUUGUCCGGAAUUAUUGGGCGUAAAGAGCUCGUAGGCGGCCUGUUGCGUCCGCUGUGAAAUCCCGGGGCUCAACCCCGGGCGUGCAGUGGAUACGGGCUGGCUGGAGGCAGGCAGGGGAGAACGGAAUUCCUGGUGUAGCGGUGAAAUGCGCAGAUAUCAGGAGGAACACCGGUGGCGAAGGCGGUUCUCUGGGCCUGUACUGACGCUGAGGUGCGAAAGCGUGGGGAGCAAACAGG